CAGAGCCAUCAAAUGCUCCCCAUACAUUAACCCUUUCGUUCCUGGGAUCUUUCACAUUACCUUUCUCUGGGCCCUCUCUAAUGUCAGCACAUCCUUUCUUAGAUACAGGGCCCAAAACUGCCCACAAUACCCCAAGCAUGGUUUACCCAGUGCCUUAUGAAGCCUCCAUAUUGUGUUAUCUUGAGUAUUGAGCCUCCCUAUGAUUUCCUCCAGAAACUUUAAAACUAUGCCCAUUCAUGCUAGCCAUUGCCACCCUGCAAAAAAACUACUUGGCUAUUUAUUUAUUGUAUCAUGACUGAUUGUGCAUGUAACCGCGUAACAUGAAUGUUUAGUCUCCAUUCGGGGUUCAGCAUGUGUAUACGUUUUAGAUGAGAUGUAUUCACUUACAUUGUCGCUGUGAUGUAUAAGAUACGGGGUUGGGGGGAUUCUAAUGUUGUUUGUAUUGUGUUUCUUCAGAAUUGCCGCUACUGUAUUAGUUUUGUGUGAUUUUCUUUGUAUUUUUAUACUGUAUACGCAAUUGGUCGAGACACAAGUGUGUGGACUGAAGGUUAAACGGAGAUUGUAACAGCAGGUCCUGAUUGUAAAGUCUUUCGUUUUGUCUUAAGACCCUCUCCUGGCACUUAAACAUCUAAAACAGAUAAAGGAAAUAAAACUCAAAAAAGGUAGUUGUUGUCCUGAGUGUGUACUUUUCCCCGGGCUACAACAUAUAUCUCUUUUUGUACACCUCUAUCAAAUCACUUCUCAUCCUCCUUCUCUCCAAAGAGAAGAAACAUAGAACAUAGAAAAUACGUGCAAGACUAGGCCGUUCAGCCCUUUGAGCCUGCACCACCAUUCAGUAUGUUCAUGGCUGAUCAUCCAACUCAGAACCCUGUACCUGCUUUCUCUCCAUACCCCCGAUCCCUUUAGCCACAAAGGCCAUAUCUAACUUCCUCUUAAAUAUAGCCAAUGAACCGUCCUCAACUGUUACCUGUGGCAGAGAAUUCCACAGAUUCAUCGCUCUCUGUGUGAAGAAGUUUUUCCUCAUCUCGGUCCUUAAACUGUGACCCCUCGUUCUGGACUUCUCCAACAUUGGAAACAAUCUUCCUGCAUCCAGCCUGUCCAAUCCCUUUAGAAUUUUAUACAUUUCAAAAAGAUCCCCCUCAAUCUUCUAAAUUCCAGUGAGUAUAAGCCUAGUCGAUCCAAUCUUUCUUGAUAUGAAAGUCCUGCCAUCCCAGGAAUCAAUCUGGUGAACCUUCUUUGUACUCCUUCUAUGGCAAGAGCCCUAGCUUGUUCAACCUAACCUUAGAAGACAUGUUCUCCAGUCCAGGCAGCAUCCUGUUUUUAUCCUUCGCUGCGUCUUGUUGUGUAUCAGGUGACAACUUUGCUGCUUCUUCAGCAUUUGUCUUGUUUUUUUACGAGACUGAGUUGCCAGCUUGAUGCUCAACCCAGCACAGAUGGAAAGCUUGCAAGGAGGAGGUUGGAUUCAAACUCGGGACCACUCGCCUCGAAGUCUGGGUGAAAUGCCACUACACCAGCAGCCGGGACACAUCCUGUGUACUGCUAUGAAACAGCAACAUCCACAGCAUUUGCCAGUGGUAUUAAACCUGAUUCUGAUUGGACGGUGAAUUUGAUGAAGUAUCUGAAGAGAAACAGUGCAAGUAAUUAACAGCCAUCAAGGCCAUUAACCAGAGGCCACAGAUGGUAACAAGAUCAAAGAUGAAAAGUAAUGGUUUAUUUUUGCAUCGCAUCUUGUUAUGAUUUGAAACGCAUUGCCAGAAGGAAUAAUGAGGCAGAUUUGAAUGUUACUUUCAAAAGGCUGUUUGACUUAUGUUGAUUAAAGUGUGGAACAGACCAAAGAAACAGGAUAAAUUGGAUAUCUCUUUCAAAGACCUGGCAUCACCACAGAGACCGAAAUGUCCUCCUGGAAUAUAUAAUUUUAAGAGUUCAUUAUCAAAGAUCGAAACGUGAAGGUCAAUCGGAAGUGCAGUAGAAGAAGCCCAGUGGCAAAUUCUUGUAUCUACAAGUCUGAAUUGCACUGGGGAAGUUGAAGGACCAUUGUCUGCUGGUCUGUAUGCCUACUGGGGGCUGGAGGCCCGUAGAACUGUCCUGGGGUUGGAGGACUGUCUGUGUGUGUGAGUGUAUGUGUGGGAGGGAGGAAUGGGACUUGUUUUGGUGUUGCUUUUUUGCUUGUUCUGUUCUGUUUUCUUCUGUUGAGCAUUGUGGGCAUGCUGUGUUGAUUCUGGAAUGUGUGGCGACACCUUCUUAACACAUCGCUAGGUUAACACUAAUGACACAUCUCACUAACAUACGAGAUUCUGUUGAUGCUGGAAAUCCAGAUCAACACACACAAAAUGCUGGAACAACGCCUGCAGGUCAGACAGCUUACAUGGAAAUACUUUCUACACUGAUAAGAGCCCUCAGUCCAAAACUUUGAUCGUUUAUUCCUCUCCUUAGAUGGUGCCUGACCCGAUGAGUUCCUCCAGCAUUUUGUAUGUGUGUUACUCUGACAUAUUCAUUGUAUGUUUCAAUAUACUUUAUAUAUGAUGAAUAAUUCAAUCUGAAUCAGAAUCGGAAUAUUUUUUCUCUUCUCUCACUGAAGGCAAUAUGUCCAGAGAUCCAGGUUACUGAUAUGAAAAACUGAGUUCAAGAUCACCCAAGCAAGCUUAGGGAGAUAAAUUCAGGUUUAACUAGAAAGGAUUGAAGGUAGUGGAGAAGGAAAGGUCAGUGCCUUUAAGCCGUUCUGUUUCGUGAAUUCUUCGUGGGAAGUUCGACGUCGGGGAUCGAAGCAAGCGACGUGAAAGAGAACCUAAAUCGUCUUAUAAAGUCUCUCCUUUUAAAUGGACUGUGAGCAUAUCGAACAUUUGGCAAUACCACUUUAAAGAACUGUUUUUGGAAUAUCACUUUACGAACUGUUUGGGCUGCCGCUCAGCAGCUGUUUCCAGUUACAGUAGUGUUUGUUUA
Molecule: long non-coding RNA, 2940 nt
Organism: Hypanus sabinus (Atlantic stingray)
Lineage: Eukaryota; Metazoa; Chordata; Chondrichthyes; Myliobatiformes; Dasyatidae
Exons: 3
Source: RefSeq, a predicted model, not a curated record